AAGGAUCAUUAGCGAGCUGGGGCCCCCCGGGGCCUCAACCUCCCCACCCCGUGCGUACCAAAAAUCUGUUGCUUCGGCGGGUCCCCCCCGCCGAAGGUGAAUCCAAACCCCUCUAGAAUUCGGUCUGAACACGUACGAACGCAAUUGCCAAAAACUUUCAACAACGGAUCUCUUGGUUCUGGCAUCGAUGAAGAACGCAGCAAAAUGCGAUAAGUAAUGUGAAUUGCAGAAUUCAGCGAAUCAUCGAAUCUUUGAACGCACAUUGCGCCCCCUGGCAUUCCGGGGGGCAUGUCUGUCCGAGCGUCGCGAAACUAUCGUCGACCGGGGUCCUUUGGCCCCGGACGGAGUUGGGGGAUACGUUCCGAGCAACGCCCCCGAAAAUCAGCGGCGGUUCGGUCGAACCCCUAGCGCGGUGGAUCAUUCUCGCUACCGGGGAUCCGACCGUUCCCGCCGGGCAACCCCCAUUGCGCGGGCAGCCGCAUGCUCUCCCUCCAUCGACCUCNGAUCAGACAGGGAUACCCGCUGAACUUAA
This 532-nucleotide ribosomal RNA is filed under the name Diploschistes scruposus. RNAcentral describes it as "eukaryotic LSU rRNA". The stretch from base 153 to 306 matches the Rfam family "5.8S ribosomal RNA". The record is from RNAcentral. Lineage: Eukaryota; Fungi; Ascomycota; Lecanoromycetes; Ostropales; Graphidaceae.